CCGCACUUGGAACUGGGGGCACCUGAUCUAGCAUGCGCGUGUGUGAAGAAGGCUUCGGGUUGUAAAGCACUUUUGUCCGGAAAGAAAUCCUUUUCGAUAAUACCGGAAGGGGAUGACGGUACCGGAAGAAUAAGCACCGGCUAACUACGUGCCAGCAGCCGCGGUAAUACGUAGGGUGCGAGCGUUAAUCGGAAUUACUGGGCGUAAAGCGUGCGCAGGCGGUGAUGUAAGACCGAUGUGAAAUCCCCGGGCUUAACCUGGGAACUGCAUUGGUGACUGCAUCGCUGGAGUAUGGCAGAGGGGGGUAGAAUUCCACGUGUAGCCAGUGAAAUGCGUAGAGAUGUGGAGGAAUACCGAAUGGCGAAGGGAGCCCCCUGGGCCAAUACUGACGGCUCAUGCCGAAAGCGUGGGGAGCAAACAGGAUUAGAUACCCUGGUGGUCCACGACAUAAACGAUGUCAAACUGGUUGUCGGGGCCUUCACUGGCUUGGUAACGUAGCUUACGCGUGAAAGUUGACCGCCUGGGGAGUACGGUCGCAAGAUUAAAACUCAAAGGAAUUGACGGGGACCCGCACAAGCGGUGGAUGAUGUGGAUUAAUUCGAUGGCAACGCGAAAAACCUUACCUACCCUUGACAUGGACGGAAGACCGGUGAGAGCUGGUUGUGCCCGAAAGGGAGCCGUCACACAGGUGCUGCAUUGGCUGUCGUCAGCUCGUGUCGUGAGAUGUUGGGGUUAAGUUCCCGCAACCGAGCGCAACCCUUGUCCCUAGCUGCUACGCAAGAGCACUCCAGGGGAGACCUGCCGGUGACAAACCGGAGGAAGGUGGGGAUGACGUCAAGUCCUCAUGGCCCUUAUGGGUAGGGCUUCACACGUCAUACAAUGGUCGGAACAGAGGGUAGCCAAGCCGCGAGGUGGAGCCAAUCCCGGAAAACCGAUCGUAGUCCGGAUCGCAGUCUGCAACUCGACUGCGUGAAGCUGGAAUCGCUAGUAAUCGCGGAUCAGCAUGCCGCGGUGAAUACGUUCCCGGGUCAUUGUACACACCGCCCCGUCACACCAUGGGAGUGGUUUAGCUAGAGAUGUGGUAUUAAAAGAAACAUUGACUCAGGACACGCAUAGGU
RNAcentral lists this ribosomal RNA (1118 nucleotides) under Paraburkholderia silvatlantica. RNAcentral's name for it is "bacterial SSU rRNA". It matches the Rfam family "Bacterial small subunit ribosomal RNA", at positions 357 to 1464 of the family's 1533-position model. Lineage: Bacteria; Pseudomonadati; Pseudomonadota; Betaproteobacteria; Burkholderiales; Burkholderiaceae. The record is from RNAcentral.